Molecule: long non-coding RNA, 456 nt
Organism: Myripristis murdjan (pinecone soldierfish)
Lineage: Eukaryota; Metazoa; Chordata; Actinopteri; Holocentriformes; Holocentridae
Exons: 3
Source: RefSeq, a predicted model, not a curated record
AUCUCGUUAUAAUGACCCAUACUGUGAAAAGAGACAAAUGCAGCUUGGUGAAUAUUGGCAAUUUUACCUGUGGACCCUAACUAAAAGGUUUUAGGGCUUAAGUCCAGUGAGGAAGUUAAUGGAGUGCUGGACACCAGGCAGUCUAAACAGUCUGCAGUGGCUGCUGUUGGCAGCAAGUGGAUGCAAGUUUCCCAAGAGAAGGAAGAGACAAUCAUGGACUGGAAGAGAAGGAAAGGGGAAUUUCUUGCUCAUCACAGAGUAAAGUGAAGUGAGGGGGAGCCGCAGAGCAUCUGCCAGAGUCGGGACAGGAGUCAGCGACGAGAGAGAGCCUGCACUUCCAGUAAGAGAUCAGAUCAUUACGGCAGUCACAUACUGCCUAAUCACAGACAAACAAGGCAAUGAUGACCGCAUGGGUGUGUGUGCCACAUUGACUACAAAUGAAAUAAAAUAAGGGAA